Molecule: long non-coding RNA, 366 nt
Filed under: Mytilus galloprovincialis (Mediterranean mussel)
Lineage: Eukaryota; Metazoa; Mollusca; Bivalvia; Mytilida; Mytilidae
Source: RNAcentral
AUUUGAAGAUGAGACUUGUAAUAAUCAUCAAUUUUAUAUGUUUUUUCAUUAAAUACCACAAUUUUGAUUUUAUUUUAUCAGCAGGUCGCAUUUACUAUAAAACGAUCAGAGUUUUAGUACCAUAUUGGAGACCUUAUGUAUGUGCUAAUUAUUUCCCGGAUGCCACAAAUAUGCAGGUGUAGGUAUAAAAAGUAGCCCGUUUUUAUGUGAGAUAAAUCGGACAGUACCAAGAGUUCAACUUGGAGAGAUUUUAAAACGGUAAGCAGUAAUAUUUUACAGUCCGUACACAUGGUACAUAACAUAUUGAGUGGAAAACUUUUUUAAUUUAAAAUCGAUAAUAAAAAUGUAACAAAGAUAAUAAGAAAC